This 274-nucleotide ribosomal RNA is filed under the name uncultured bacterium. RNAcentral describes it as "partial 16S ribosomal RNA". It matches the Rfam family "Bacterial small subunit ribosomal RNA", at positions 523 to 796 of the family's 1533-position model. The record is from RNAcentral.
AUACGGAGGGUGCAAGCGUUAAUCGGAAUUACUGGGCGUAAAGCGUACGUAGGCGGUUUAUUUAGUCAGAUGUGAAAGCCCCGGGCUUAACCUGGGAACUGCAUUUGAAACUAGUAGACUAGAGUAUGGUAGAGGGGGGUAGAAUUCCUAGUGUAGCGGUGAAAUGCGUAGAUAUUAGGAGGAAUACCAGUGGCGAAGGCGGCCCCCUGGACCAAUACUGACGCUGAGGUACGAAAGCGUGGGGAGCGAACAGGAUUAGAAACCCCGGUAGUCC